RNAcentral lists this ribosomal RNA (134 nucleotides) under Pogona vitticeps (central bearded dragon). Its description in RNAcentral is "5.8S ribosomal RNA (ENSPVIG00000003800.1)". It matches the Rfam family "5.8S ribosomal RNA". From Rfam's summary of the family: 5.8S ribosomal RNA (5.8S rRNA) is a component of the large subunit of the eukaryotic ribosome. It is transcribed by RNA polymerase I as part of the 45S precursor that also contains 18S and 28S rRNA. Lineage: Eukaryota; Metazoa; Chordata; Lepidosauria; Squamata; Agamidae. The record is from RNAcentral.
AGCUCUUAGUGGUGGAUCACUUAAUUCAUAUGUCAGUAAAAAUGUUCUAGGUGUGAAAAUUAAUGUGAAUUGCAGGAUCCACUAAUCAUCAACUCUUCGAAUGCACUUGCAGUGUCAGGCUUCACACAGGGUGG